UGGGCUUGACAUGCAGGGUGAAACCCGUGAAAGCGGGUGCUCUUCGGAGCCUGCACAGGUGGUGCAUGGCUGUCGUCAGCUCGUGCCGUGAGGUGUUGCCUUAAGUGGCGCAACGAGCGCAACCCCUGUCCUUAGUUGCCAGCGGGUGAUGCCGGGAACUCUAGGGAGACUGCCGGUGCCAAACCGGAGGAAGGUGGGGAUGACGUUUACGUGCACUU
RNAcentral lists this unclassified non-coding RNA (218 nucleotides) under uncultured Actinomycetes bacterium. RNAcentral describes it as "uncultured actinobacterium contains 16S-23S intergenic spacer region". It matches the Rfam family "Bacterial small subunit ribosomal RNA", at positions 976 to 1196 of the family's 1533-position model. The record is from RNAcentral. Lineage: Bacteria; Bacillati; Actinomycetota; Actinomycetes.